GAAAUGCGAUAAGUAGUGUGAAUUGCAGAAUUCAGUGAAUCAUCGAAUCUUUGAACGCACAUUGCGCCCUCCGGUAUUCCGGAGGGCAUGCCUGUUCGAGCGUCAUUGCAACCUUCAAGCUCUGCUUGGUGAUGGGCGUCUGUCCUUGCGGACUCGUCCCAAAUGCAUCGGCACAGGAUCCGUUGGCCCCCCGCGCAGCACAUGCGCUCUGGGAGGCCUGCGGCAUCCGGCCACCGUGAGGCCGUCAACCAUCUUGACCUCGGAUCAGGUAGGGAUACCCGCUGAACUUAA
This 291-nucleotide unclassified non-coding RNA is filed under the name uncultured Ascomycota. RNAcentral's name for it is "sequence contains ITS1". The stretch from base 1 to 105 matches the Rfam family "5.8S ribosomal RNA", at positions 50 to 154 of the family's 154-position model. The record is from RNAcentral. Lineage: Eukaryota; Fungi; Ascomycota.